This 30-nucleotide non-coding RNA is filed under the name Rattus norvegicus (Norway rat). Lineage: Eukaryota; Metazoa; Chordata; Mammalia; Rodentia; Muridae. The record is from RNAcentral.
UGCAGAAAGUGAACUGGUGGUACAGCCUGC